RNAcentral lists this transfer RNA (67 nucleotides) under Travisia sanrikuensis. Its description in RNAcentral is "tRNA-Met". Lineage: Eukaryota; Metazoa; Annelida; Polychaeta; Opheliidae. The record is from RNAcentral.
AGUAUGAUAAGCUAAUUCACUAAGCUAUUGGGCUCAUACCCCGAAAAUGAGUAAAACUCUCCUACUA